Molecule: ribosomal RNA, 777 nt
Filed under: uncultured bacterium
Lineage: Bacteria
Description: bacterial SSU rRNA
Rfam family: Bacterial small subunit ribosomal RNA
Source: RNAcentral
AGUCGAGCGAACACUUUGCUUAGAUUCUUCGGAUGAAGAGGAUUGUGACUGAGCGGCGGACGGGUGAGUAACGCGUGGGUAACCUGCCUCAUACAGGGGGAUAACAGUUAGAAAUGACUGCUAAUACCGCAUAAGACCACAGCACCGCAUGGUGCGGGGGUAAAAACUCCGGUGGUAUGAGAUGGACCCGCGUCUGAUUAGCUGGUUGGUAAGGUAACGGCUUACCAAGGCGACGAUCAGUAGCCGACCUGAGAGGGUGACCGGCCACAUUGGGACUGAGACACGGCCCAAACUCCUACGGGAGGCAGCAGUGGGGAAUAUUGCACAAUGGGGGAAACCCUGAUGCAGCGACGCCGCGUGAGCGAAGAAGUAUUUCGGUAUGUAAAGCUCUAUCAGCAGGGAAGAAAAUGACGGUACCUGACUGAGAAGCACCGGCUAAAUACGUGCCAGCAGCCGCGGUAAUACGUAUGGUGCAAGCGUUAUCCGGAUUUACUGGGUGUAAAGGGAGCGUAGACGGAUGGGCAAGUCUGAUGUGAAAACCCGGGGCUCAACCCCGGGACUGCAUUGGAAACUGUUCAUCUAGAGUGCUGGAGAGGUAAGUGGAAUUCCUAGUGUAGCGGUGAAAUGCGUAGAUAUUAGGAGGAACACCAGUGGCGAAGGCGGCUUACUGGACAGUAACUGACGUUGAGGCUCGAAAGCGUGGGGAGCAAACAGGAUUAGAUACCCUGGUAGUCCACGCCGUAAACGAUGACGACUAGGUGUCGGGUGGCAAAGCCA